Molecule: long non-coding RNA, 633 nt
Filed under: Mus caroli (Ryukyu mouse)
Lineage: Eukaryota; Metazoa; Chordata; Mammalia; Rodentia; Muridae
Description: predicted gene 7616 (MGP_CAROLIEiJ_G0004202.1)
Source: RNAcentral
CCCAGCCCCUUAGGACCCUUCAUGGACAAGGUCUGAAGCUCCACUUAGCAGCCAAAUCAGGGCUUCAGGGUAAGGUUUGUACUCUAGACAUGUCAUCUGCUUCCCACACGUCCAAGUCACCUUAGCAAGCCUUCCAUCCUCUCUGCGGGCAGUCUCGAAGACAUUCAUGGCUUCUGUGACAGCUUCGUGACAGCUUCUCACCAGUCUCUGUCCUCACCUAAGAUCUAUGCCCCGACAUCCCAUUCAUCCCCAACUGACCUGCAUAGACAUUGGCCCGACACAGAAGCUGCCACUAUGGGCCUCACAGCUAAGAGACUGAGUCGGAGAGGCUCAGAGUGGGGAGGCAGGUGCUGAGAGAAACUGACCACAGGAGAGACGCAGUCCCUUCCCCAUGGGGCGUUUCCUCUGGUCAAGCCCUGAAGAAUGCCCUGAAGGCAGAGCAAACAAGUAGAGUGGCUGUCUUCAGAUGCACCAGAAGAGGGCACUGGAUUCCAUUACAGAUGAUUAUGAGUCACCAUGUGGUUGCUGGGAUUUGAACUCAGGACCAUCGGAAGAGCAAGAAGCCAGUACUCUUAACCACAGAGCCACCUCUCCAGCCUGGAUUUUUUUUUUUAAAGUUGUUUUUAAAAAAUA